GCGUCAGUGGUGGAACGGUAGACACGCUACCUUGAGGGGGUAGUGCCUUACGGGUGUGGAGGUUCAAAUCCUCUCUGACGCACCA
RNAcentral lists this transfer RNA (85 nucleotides) under Sulfurovum sp. RNAcentral describes it as "tRNA-Leu". It matches the Rfam family "tRNA". Rfam says of the family: Transfer RNA (tRNA) molecules are approximately 80 nucleotides in length. RNAcentral also lists the same sequence under 1 other name. The record is from RNAcentral. Lineage: Bacteria; Pseudomonadati; Campylobacterota; Epsilonproteobacteria; Campylobacterales; Sulfurovaceae.